This is a long non-coding RNA of Alligator sinensis (Chinese alligator), 1946 nucleotides long. RefSeq lists it as uncharacterized. NCBI's taxonomy places the organism in Eukaryota, Metazoa, Chordata, Crocodylia, Alligatoridae. The transcript has 3 exons. The record is from RefSeq and is a predicted model, not a curated record.
GGUCCUGCCAGAGGGUCUCUGCUAGUGGGCCAAAGCAUGCAGGAGCUUCUAGGCCAUGGGGAAGCACUUUCCCAAACAAUGCCCUCCUUCUGGAUCCCUGUCCGGAUGCUUGUUUGGGGUUGGGCUCCCACAGGCCCAGCACAGGUCUCAGCUGAACCCUCUCUGUGGCUCUGCUCCCAGCCUGGCCUGCUUUCCCUGGAGAGUCCUUCCCCUAGGUCACAGCUGCCAAAGCAGCUGCAAGGGUGAAGGAAGCUGCUGGCAGGUCCUGCCUGGGACCUCCUCUGGGGCCCAAACCAGAGCUGCCCACUCAGCCAUGGGGCCAAGAGAAACUGGAGACAGUCUCCAGAAUCGCAGUCAAGGGCCAUCUCCCUGGGGGAUUCGCAAGCAAUUCAUGAUCAUUUAAAAGUCUGUUCAUCUGAGCCUCCGCCCAAUGAACCGGGGACAAGUUUUCCCCAACAGUUUUCUGAUGUCAUAAGUGGGAUGUGGCAGAACACCGAGCUGGUGGCUUGAACAGUCUGGGGACACAGCUGACACCCGUGGCGCCAAAACUCAGAGGUUAGUGCUGCUUUACCGAUCCCUACUGAUAUUCCUUGCCACUCCUUAAGCCCUGGGGACUGGGUCCUUGUAAAGGAGUUCCAACGGAAAGACUGCUUGCAGCCCAGGUGGAGUGGACCUUAUCAAGUUUUGUUAACAACCAACACUGCUGUAAAGGUUGAGGGAAAACCUGCCUGGAUCCAUGCAUCUCACUGCAGAAGAACUGUAACACCAGAGCAAGAAGACCUCCAACAGACAACAGCUGUAUCCCAACCAAGGUUAAAACCUUUCCCUGAGGCUGAGGACAAAGACCCUCAGGACCUCACUCAAUCAAGUGAGAAGUAUCAAGGUGCAAGUAAUAGUGAUCUUGCUGGUGAACCUAACACCCUGAUUCAGCUGAAUCCACCAGUUGAAGAGCGAAGGUAUUAUCUGCGGCCUCGAAAGAAGUAAAUGCAUCCAUUUGGAAGAUCACCACCUCGACCAAAACCAAGAGCCGAAGUUAUCAGUCCUCUCGGUAACUUAGGCCCAGAAAAUGAGGAAAAACUUUGGUUACCCUCUUGGAUGUGGCUGGUAGUAGGUUUUGUCCUACUGGUGUGGGUAGUGUUCAUUGUUGAAAUAUUUUGUCCUUUCUGUUUUUUUAAACUGAUUAGUGCUAUUGACAUCAAGGUGAACAAACAGACAACGAAAACCAGAAGAGUUGCCUGCAGAGGCAAGCCAAAUAAUACUUGCCAACAUGAUUGAAAAACUUGUCAUAACUGCUGUCUUGUUUAGCUCAAUUGCUUUAAGCACUGCAAAUGUUUACUUAAGUCUGCUGCAGAAAGUAUCAAAAGCUCUAAAUGAAUCAGAUUGCUGGGUAUGCGGCCUGAGUCCUAGGACUCAUAGCAAAGGAUUCCUCAUGAUCCCUCACCCCUUAAGUUUAGAGCCGAAUAGAAAUAGAGUGAUCCUUCUUUUGAAGGAUCAAAGGGGGGAAUGAAGGGGGAAUAAAAUGGAGUUGAAUUGCCAUUAUGUAUAAGCAAGCAGAUCACGUAUGUUGCUUAAGCUAUGAGGAAGUUAAAGGACAUGACCCAAAACUGCUAGGCUAGGGCGAACUGGAACAAUCCUGUCCUAGUCCAGUAAAAGCAGAAACUUAGUGUAGAAGUAGCCAUGUACUGGCUUGCUGAGUCAGCCCAGAACGGGAAGUGACCCUGUGGUUACAAGCUAGAAGAAACCAGUUAAACUAACACUGCUAUACUAAAAAUAAGUAGAUACAUGUGCAUUACUAUCUAAGUCAUGGCAAAUGCUGAUUGGUGUAUGCUGUUGCUGUGCUUAUGAUGUCAUAUUUUCUAAAUAAACUCGCCUCACCUAUUGUAUGGGGUCAGACAUCUUCACAAUUCUCCAACUGUGUAUGAGUCUGUCCAGAAUGCAUUCUCUAA